GAACGAACGCUGGCGGCAGGCCUAACACAUGCAAGUCGAGCGAACCCUUCGGGGUUAGCGGCGGACGGGUUAGUAACGCGUGGGAAUAUACCCUUUGGUACGGAAUAGCCUCGGGAAACUGAGAGUAAUACCGUAUGUGCCCUUCGGGGGAAAGAUUUAUCGCCAAAGGAUUAGCCCGCGUUGGAUUAGAUAGUUGGUGGGGUAAUGGCCUACCAAGUCUACGAUCCAUAGCUGGUUUGAGAGGAUGAUCAGCAACACUGGGACUGAGACACGGCCCAGACUCCUACGGGAGGCAGCAGUGGGGAAUCUUAGACAAUGGGCGCAAGCCUGAUCUAGCCAUGCCGCGUGGACGAUGAAGGCCUUAGGGUUGUAAAGUCCUUUCAGAUGGGAAGAUAAUAACGGUACCAUCAGAAGAAGCCCCGGCUAACUCCGUG
Molecule: ribosomal RNA, 434 nt
Filed under: uncultured bacterium
Lineage: Bacteria
Description: bacterial SSU rRNA
Rfam family: Bacterial small subunit ribosomal RNA
Source: RNAcentral